Heterocephalus glaber (naked mole-rat) is the source of this 3169-nucleotide non-coding RNA. NCBI's taxonomy places the organism in Eukaryota, Metazoa, Chordata, Mammalia, Rodentia, Bathyergidae. The record is from RefSeq and is a predicted model, not a curated record.
CGCCUGUCACCCCGCACUCCAGGAGGCUGAGGCAGGAGGACCCCUGCGGAGGCUAGCCCAGCUUGAGUAACUGAGCGACUUAGCAAGCCCAUGUGUCCAAAUAAAAAAAUAAAAAGGGCUCAGGGCAGAGCUCGGCGCAAAGGCCCUGGGUGCCGUCCCAGUGCCACAAAAAUAAAAACGUAAUAAAUAAGCAAGUGUGAAAAUGCAUCCUGCAGCGGGGAUCUUUACGCAGACCAGCGGCUCACACACGAUGACGUGUUUUAGUAUCUCCGGAGUGCCCGGGCUUCCCCAGUACAGGAAGGAGAAAGAACGGAACCACGAGGUAAAGGAAAGGAAAUCAGCAGGAACGGCCUCAGUUCGCCAACAGGAGCACGAUUUCUGCAAAACCCGAAGUGCAAACAAAGAGCUAAAAACAGACAGACAACAGGACAGAGAAAGCUAAAAAAGCCUGGCCCGGGGCUGCACGCGGGCCUGAAAGCGAAGCACUCUGGGAGGCUGAGGCCGGAGAGUCGAACACAAGUCCCCAACCUGGGCGACUGAGCCGUUUAGCCGGAUCUGCUCUCAGAAUAAACAAAAAGAGGCUGGAGACAUAGCGCACCGCGCGAGCCCUGGGUUCAACCCUGAGUACUACAAAAACGAACAAAAAUAAACAGAAACUGAAAGACGCUGUGGAAAGAAACAAGAAAAAAUCAUUCUGCUCUCUGCGGGACGUGCGGGGAAGGAGCAGGGGGGUUCCCCGUCCUCGGACUUUUCCGGUGUUUACCCAAUUAUCUAUGGCAACGGCGGGAAAGCUCGAUCCCCUCCCCCCACCCCGAGCGCGCCCGGGACUGCGCGCUACAAAGUAUCUUUCCAGAUACAAAGUAUCUUUGCACGUACAAAGUAUCUUUCGCGCUCCGCAGGCCUUGCAGUUUCCCAGCCUUCCAGCCCCGGCGAGCUACAAAGUAUCUUUCUCGGCCGCGCAGGCCUGGAAGUUUCCCCAGGGAUCCCACCCCUUCAGCUUAGGCCUUUAACCCCCCGGGGACGACUCCAAAUUUAGGCCCGAGACUCAGGGCGUGGCUCGGGGCCCCGGGCGCCCCGGGCAACAAUGGCGCGCGCGGGUCCCCAAACCCAGCCUGGGGAGCGCGCCAGAGUUGGCGGCGACGGAAAACGGGUCCGAGAGAGGAGGGGAUCGGAGGCCGGCGCCGAGCCCAGAGCUCCCCCAGAAGGGCUUGGAGCGCAGGAAAAACGCGCCGACAUGUCGCACCGGGAAUGGAUCCAGACCGUGGCCGGGACGCAGUUGGCUUGGGCAGUGGAACAAAUCCCAGCCAUCAUGGUCUUCUGCUCCAGUAGAAGCCCAGACAUGGAAGAACCUUGCUUACAUCUAUUUCUGACAGAUGAGCCUGGCUCUCGGCUGAGGUAAGAACCAGGAGCAUAGCUUGUGGGGACCAGUGCAGAAGGAAGACCCAAGGCCCCUGCUCCAAACUUCUACCAAGAAAUUCAAGAUGGCAGCCAGGGACCGUGAAUCCAAGCAUGGAGCCAGUUCCACAGACUGUGACCCAGGAGAUGAACCCUCACUGAGAUGUCUGGGAGAUGGCCACACAAAACACUCACACAUGACCUCUUUGCAUGGCUUGGGUGACCUCCCAGCACCCUGACUGCCAGAAAGAGCUGGAUUCCCAAGGUGCGUGUCUCCAGGGAAAGACAGGAAAUCCAGCAGAACUCAUCACGGGUACAGAACCACAAGUCAUGUGACCUGUCCUCCCCAGCAUCUCUCCGUGACAGCAAGAACAAACACCCACCCCACUGCAUGGGAAGGAGAAUGAGACUCCUCUCUGUGGCUGAGAGGGAGGUCCUGGGAGAGCACGGGGGACACAACUAGUGCUUAGCCAUGCUGGGAGAAGGUCAUCGGUCCGAACAACAAAGCCUGCUUCACAGCUGCAGAGCUAGCUUAGGAAUAAUCCAGCAGCCUAGUACAUAAAACUCUGCUCAUUUACCCAGAGAAUAUUUGUUUAGCAAAGAGAUACGGCAGGUUGUCCUCUAGGGGCCGAGCAUAGGGAGGUGGAGAAGUCAUCUUCUUUCUUCCAUUGUCUGAGUCACUUUGCUCAUGGGUGCCACAAAUACUCAACACAUGCACAGUUGAAAGGGGUGAGGUUGAUUUGGGCUAGCAACUUCAGAAGUUGCAGCCUGUGUUGCAGGCUCAGACACGGAAACAAUAUGGUGGACUGGCCUGACAGAGGAAGGAUGCUCACAUCAUGGCGGCCAGAAAGGGGAGGGACAGAGAGAGAGAGACAGACAGAGAGAGAGACAGAGAGAGACAAAGACAGAAAGACAGAGACAGAGAGAGAGAAAGAGAGACAGAAAGACAGACAGAGACAGAGAGACAGAGAAAGAGAGAGCUAUGAAUUCAUUAGUGGAUUGACCCAUUGGUGAUUAUAAACCCCCAUGAUCCAGUCACCUCUCAAAAGCUCCAUCUGUGCACACAUGAGACUUCUGAGGGAGGUUGUAGAUCUAAACUAUGGCAUCUAUUUACCGAUCAUCCAUCAUCUAUCUCCCUAUCUCCUCUAUUCUAGUCUCUCUCCAUCCUCAGCUAUCUAUUGUUAAUCUGUUCUGCCAUCUAUCCAUGUAUCCAUCUCUGUUUUCUCUUCUCAAUACUGCAUCUAUUCAUCACAGCUACCGACUGUUUAUCAUCUAUCUGCCGUGUUGUCUCUGUCUCUAGUCUCCGUCAUCUAUCCUUUGCUCUCCAUCCAUCUAUCCAUCUUAUUUGUCGUCUCUCCAGAGAAACCUAGCUAAUAUAGGUAGCUUCAUAGAAGAAAAUAGGAACGGAGCAAAAUGGAAGCAGGGCUGAGCCAGAUUGUGAAUGUAUGGAGUAGAGACAGGAUAGGCAAGGUGAACAGAGCAUCAAUUCCAGACCUCAGGAAGGAAAGACAUUUGUAUUCUUAUGUCCAGCCCAGGCAUGUUCCCGGCCAACGUAAAGAGUAUAAAACCGUGAAAACACAGGAAUCCCUAUCUCCAUCAUACUGGUAUUUCAGAACAUUUUUUCUUCUUUCUCCAAAAAUCCCCAUUUCUUAUCAGCACCUGUUUUUGAUUUUUCACAACCCACCAAAGGUCUCUGCCUGGGCUUGGCAUCUCUCCUGGUUGGGAUGCUGGACGUAGGAAUCCAGAAGAAAGGUGUUGGGUAGAUGACCCUUUU